This 497-nucleotide ribosomal RNA is filed under the name uncultured bacterium. RNAcentral describes it as "partial 16S ribosomal RNA". It matches the Rfam family "Bacterial small subunit ribosomal RNA", at positions 28 to 507 of the family's 1533-position model. The record is from RNAcentral.
GAUGAACGCUGGCGGCGUGCCUAAUACAUGCAAGUCGAGCGAACAGACGAGGAGCUUGCUCCUCUGACUUUAGCGGCGGAGGGGGGUGUGACAUGCGUAUAACCCACCUAAAAGACUGGGGUAACCUUGGGAAAACGGGGCCUAAUCCGGAAUACAUAUUGCAGCGCAUGGCUGGGUAGCUAAAGACGGUUUUGCUGUGGCUGAUCCAUUGAUGCACGCCGCAUUAGCUAGUUGGUAAGGUAACGGACUACCAAGGCAACGGUUCGUAGCCGAUCUGAGAGGGUGAUCGGCCACACUGGAACUGAGACACGGUCCAGACUCCUACGGGAGGCAGCAGUAGGGAAUCUUCCGCAAUGGGCGCAAGCCUGACCCAGCAACGCCGCGUGUGUGAAGAAGGCCUUCGGAUCGUAAAGCACUGUUGUUAGGAAAGAACAGCUGUCUGAGAAAACAUGGUCGUCUUGACGGUACCUAAUGAAAAAGCAACGGCUAACUACGUG